GCCGGCCGACACAGCGGU
Molecule: unclassified non-coding RNA, 18 nt
Filed under: Chlamydomonas reinhardtii
Lineage: Eukaryota; Viridiplantae; Chlorophyta; Chlorophyceae; Chlamydomonadales; Chlamydomonadaceae
Description: small RNA Cre_1712
Source: RNAcentral